This is a long non-coding RNA of Dromiciops gliroides (monito del monte), 727 nucleotides long. RefSeq lists it as uncharacterized. Lineage: Eukaryota; Metazoa; Chordata; Mammalia; Microbiotheria; Microbiotheriidae. The transcript has 2 exons. The record is from RefSeq and is a predicted model, not a curated record.
CCUGCGCACUGGCGAGAGUGAAGCCAGCGAUCUUCCUCGGGUUGAGCAAGGUGCAUUCUGAGUAUAAAUACUCUCCAGGCUCCUCCUCUUCCCCUCCCCACCCUCUUUCCUCCCCUUCCCCUUCUCUCUCCUCCAUCUAGACGGGUCUCUAAAACUAAAAGUUGCUGGGGAGGUGCCCAUCUGCAUUGCUAAAGGAAAUGCUUCACCUGAAGCUCAGGGUACCAAUGAAAUCACAGGUCCUGUCCAAGUCCGUUGUUUUUUUCAACAACAAUAAUAAUUUAUAUGUCACAUUCACGUUUGCAAAGGGCUUUCCAUAUGCAAAGGAUCUCCUUCCACCCUGUGAGGAGACACCUUGUUUUCCAGAGCUGAGGCCCAGCAAGCAAGCAAGCUAUGCCCUGAGCUUGGCAAAACAAUCCUUUGAACUGUGGAUGAAUUCUGCUACAGCUAAAUCACAGAAUUGAUUCAAACCAGCCCCAGUUGGUUCCUGAGUUUGGAUAAGCACCUACAGAAACUAUGUUCCAGUCAUGAAGCCCUGCUAUGAAUAGACUUUUUUGUCACUAGGCAAACUUGCUUCAUUGUUGCUGUUAUACCUCACUACUUGGUUCUUUGUGGAGCCACAACUAUAUGUAUCAAGGCUUAGCCUUGCUGCCUAGGGCUCUCCUUGGUCUUAGGUGUACACCUGUUUAAUUUCCCUCCUCCAAUGAAAUAAAGAAUUGUUUUGUCUAUA